AGCGAAAUUCCUUGUCGGGUAAGUUCCGACCUGCACGAAUGGUGUAACGAUCUGGGCACUGUCUCGACCAUGAGCUCGGUGAAAUUGUAGUUCCGGUGAAGAUGCCGGGUACCCGCGACGGGACGGAAAGACCCCGUGAACCUUUACUGCAGCUUUGCAUUGAACUGUGAACCGAUUUGUGUAGGAUAGGUGGGAGGCAGAGAAGAGGCCACGCCAGUGGCCUUGGAGCCGACCUUGAAAUACCACCCUGAUUUGUUUGCGGUUCUAACCACGGACAGUGAUCCUGUCUUGGGACCGUGCAUGGUAGGCAGUUUGACUGGGGCGGUCGCCUCCUAAAGGGUAACGGAGGAGUACGAAGGUACGCUAGGUACGGUCGGAAAUCGUGCUGAUAGUGCAAUGGCAAAAGCGUGCUUGACUGCGAGAGCAACAACUCGAGCAGAUGCGAAAGCAGGUCAUAGUGAUCCGGUGGCUCUGAAUGGAAGGGCCAUCGCUCAACGGAUAAAAGGUACUCUGGGGAUAACAGGCUGAUACCGCCCAAGAGUUCAUAUCGACGGCGGUGUUUGGCACCUCGAUGUCGGCUCAUCUCAUCCUGGGGCUGUAGUCGGUCCCAAGGGUAUGGCUGUUCGCCAUUUAAAGAGGUACGUGAGCUGGGUUUAAAACGUCGUGAGACAGUUUGGUCCCUAUCUGCCGUGGGCGUUGGAAGAUUGACGGGGGCUGCUCCUAGUACGAGAGGACCGGAGUGGACGCACCUCUGGUGUACCGGUUGUCACGCCAGUGGCAUUGCCGGGUAGCUAAGUGCGGAAGAGAUAACCGCUGAAAGCAUCUAAGCGGGAAACUUGCCUGAAGAUGAGUCUUCCCGGAGGUUGAACCUCCCUCAAGAGUCGUCCGAGACCAGGACGUCGAUAGGUCAGGUGUGUAAGCGCUGUAAGGCGUUGAGCUAACUGAUACUAAUUGCUCGUGAGGCUUGAUCCU
RNAcentral lists this ribosomal RNA (972 nucleotides) under human gut metagenome. Its description in RNAcentral is "bacterial LSU rRNA". It matches the Rfam family "Bacterial large subunit ribosomal RNA", at positions 1958 to 2925 of the family's 2925-position model. The record is from RNAcentral.